Molecule: long non-coding RNA, 790 nt
Organism: Quercus lobata
Lineage: Eukaryota; Viridiplantae; Streptophyta; Magnoliopsida; Fagales; Fagaceae
Exons: 2
Source: RefSeq, a predicted model, not a curated record
CUCUCCUGCAUUCUCCUCUCUCAAACCGCUUCUCAUCUCACUUGGGUGAUCUCCAUCUCUGUCUCGUGGCUUUACUCACCGGUGAAGGUUUCUCAAAAAGAUCAAAAUCACUUUGAUAUAGUGGAACUGGAAGGUAUUACCAGCGCCCAAGUCUGAGCUCCUUCGACCUUAGGCUCUUGAUUUCUCUGCUUUUAGGUAAGGGAUAAGUGAUAUGAGCAUUUGGUAAGUCAUGAGGUUAUUUUAAAAAGAUUAUUAUGCACUAAAAGGUUUUGAAUAUAGAUAUUGCAUACAAUCAUGUUUUAGACAAAGAUAUGUUUGUUAUGCUUACAAAAUCUAAAGUAUAUAAAAUAAUAUGCAUGAAAUUAAAAGAUGUUCUCCUAUUUGAAUAUCCAUAAAAUGAAAUAUGUUUGUUAUGCUUACAAAAUCUAAAGUAUAUAAAAUAAUAUGCAUGAAAUUAAAAGAUGUUCUCCUAUCUGAAUAUCCAUAAAAUGAAAUGUUUUGGUUUACAUGCAUUCUUAUUAAAUUCUCAUCUAACUUACCCUUAUUGAGCUAUUUAGCUCACCCCUUCUACUUUUUCAGUCAACAAGUUUUAUUCUGGAGCAGAGGGAGCCUUAGUCGAGUUUUGGGAGGAACUGGUUUUAGCUUUAAAAGUAUAGCCCCUGUUUUGGAAGUUUGAUGCUUAGCUUUGUAGUAUUGUGUAUUUUAGGAUCUAAUGGAAGUUGUGUACUUUAAUAUAUUAAGAGAUGUAUUAUGUGAAAUUCUGAAAUUGAAUGACUGGUGGAUUAAGUUA